This 239-nucleotide unclassified non-coding RNA is filed under the name uncultured Chaetothyriales. RNAcentral's name for it is "sequence contains ITS1". The record is from RNAcentral. Lineage: Eukaryota; Fungi; Ascomycota; Eurotiomycetes; Chaetothyriales.
CCGAGUAAGGGUGUCUCCUCGGAGCGCCCGACCUCCCAACCCUUUGUCUACCAAACCUCAUGUUGCUUCGGCAGGCCCGCCAACGGGGGGCCCGUCAGCCUUUAUCCGCUGGCGGACUCUAUCCUCCCUGGCCGCCGGGGGUCCCUAAGACCCCGGGCCCGCGCCUGUCGAUGGCCCUCUUACAAAUUCUUUGUUAACAAACGUGUCGUCUGAGUUUUACAAAAACAAAAUAAAAACAA